GACACGCUGGCAGUGGUAGGAGUAACUUGCCGGAGCAUAUAUGCCGGUUGCGUUAAAAGUUGCCUGGAUUGAAUUAUUGAAAAUAAUCUCGACUCGCUGCAGACUAAACCAGCUCUGGAAGUACAACUUGUUGUAACUGACAUUAAACAUUUCAUCAGAGAUGUGUUUCAAGUUCACUACAAAGGAACCUACUUCAUCUUCUGAAAUGUCAGAAAACUUGACCACUCAGUUAACAGACUACAAUCGCCCUAAGGGCCUCCUCCAGCAAAGCAGUCAACUUACGUGGCACUUUCUUCACUGCAAUUUGAGUUGUUAAUGUCCACUGUCGCCUUCUGGCCAAAAGCUUCAUCGAUAAACCUAGUUUCCUCACAUAUCCAUACCUGUGUGAUUGGUAUUGUUGUGAAAUUCUGGAUUGGAU
Long non-coding RNA from Ailuropoda melanoleuca (giant panda), 418 nucleotides. RefSeq lists it as uncharacterized. The record is from RefSeq and is a predicted model, not a curated record. Lineage: Eukaryota; Metazoa; Chordata; Mammalia; Carnivora; Ursidae. The transcript is spliced from 3 exons.